AGAAAUUGAGGAGAGGAGAGAGAUAAGCUCCCAGCUCCCCCAAAACCGCACCCACACCCAUUGCGACCACCCAUCUUUCAAGGUUGAUUCCGGCCAACUCCGAUGGAGUUUUUCGAUGCCACCACCGCCAUCUUGAGGCUCUCAUUCCCCUCUACAAAACCCAGCCAAGAACCACCUUGAUAACCACGGUCUGUGGCGGUUUGAGGCCACGAAAGUCGAAAAAAAAUCAACGGUGCUCCAGCUACGCUUUUCAAUAGUUCGGCGAAUCGGCAAAGCGAUGGCCAAUGCCACCACUUGGGCUUUGUAGCCCAUCACCCCAGGAGAAAAUCCCAACCAACCUUGAUCCCGUUGGACCACCGUAGAUGACGAAUCGACGCCGGGAAUCUUUAGGCACCCGUUGGCUUUGUGGACAAAAUUGAC
This 420-nucleotide long non-coding RNA is filed under the name Malus domestica (apple). Its description in RNAcentral is "long non-coding RNA (MDOM_LNC018621)". Lineage: Eukaryota; Viridiplantae; Streptophyta; Magnoliopsida; Rosales; Rosaceae. The record is from RNAcentral.